CUCUUUAUUAAUUUCUGAUCCCAAAUGUACGUACAAGAGGUAGUCUCCUCUCUUUUAUAUAAGUCCAAUGGAUAAGAGGCCACAACAAACUAUUAUUAUUAUGUGAAGAAAGGAGUCAACAUGGGGUUGGGGGCACACGACUCGGUGGACACCCCACGCGGUCGUUGGUUCAUCGUCUCUCUCGCUCACUGUCGCGCGCUCUCUCUCCCUGUCUUGCUCACCCCCUCGCCGGACCGCGGCCUCCGCGCGCGCUCGCCCUGCAGCCGCCUCUGCGCGAGGCGACCCCGCCGCCUCUGCGUGCGCGUCUCUCUCGCUCGCGAAUCCCUCGCCUGAUUUGCCGAGACCGCCUCCUCCGAGCGCCACCACGAAGCACUGGCUGAGACUGCCUACUCCGACCGCGGGGAAGGAGGCCAUGGCGGCGGCGGCGGCCCUGUGCUGGAGAGGCAGCGGGAUCCAUGGCGGCAGGAAAGGGAAACGACGUGUGGCGGCCAGACCUUCCAGACGACGCCCUGCGGCGGCCUAGAGCGCGACGGCAGCGGGCGUGCGACGCAGCGGGGAAUGAGGCCAUGGCGACGGCCUCGAGCCCGACGCCUCGAGCGCCACGGCGAGCGGCGGUGGCCUCAAGCGCUUUGGCGAGCGGUUGCAGACUCGAGCGCGCUGGCAGGCAGCGCGGCCUGUGCGAGACUGUAGAGAGAGAGGGGAGACUCGCGAGCUGGGCCGGCGCCGGAGACGAGGCCGAGGGCGGCGCUCGGAGUCCUCGUCAGUUUGAACAGG
Molecule: long non-coding RNA, 774 nt
Filed under: Brachypodium distachyon (stiff brome)
Lineage: Eukaryota; Viridiplantae; Streptophyta; Magnoliopsida; Poales; Poaceae
Description: long non-coding RNA (BDIS_LNC004830)
Source: RNAcentral